GACGUAGGGCGCGAGCGUUGUCCGGAUUUAUUGGGCGUAAAGAGCUCGUAGGCGGCUUGUCGCGUCGACUGUGAAAACCCGCGGCUUAACUGUGGGCUUGCAGUCGAUACGGGCAGGCUAGAGUUCGGUAGGGGAGACUGGAAUUCCUGGUGUAGCGGUGAAAUGCGCAGAUAUCAGGAGGAACACCGGUGGCGAAGGCGGGUCUCUGGGCCGAUACUGACGCUGAUGCGCGAAAGCCAGGGGAGCAAACGGG
RNAcentral lists this ribosomal RNA (253 nucleotides) under uncultured bacterium. RNAcentral's name for it is "partial 16S ribosomal RNA". It matches the Rfam family "Bacterial small subunit ribosomal RNA", at positions 524 to 776 of the family's 1533-position model. The record is from RNAcentral.